Molecule: long non-coding RNA, 408 nt
Organism: Rhododendron vialii
Lineage: Eukaryota; Viridiplantae; Streptophyta; Magnoliopsida; Ericales; Ericaceae
Exons: 3
Source: RefSeq, a predicted model, not a curated record
GGAGAUUUUUUUCUCUUUUCCUUUCCUUUCUUUUCUUCUUCUCCGGUGUGUCUCUCGGCUCUCACCCCUCUCACCUUCUCUCUUCGAUUUCAUCGAUUUCAUCCACCACGAGUGAGACUUUUGAAAAAUCCCAAGUACUAAAGUUGUUCUACGCGACGAGAGCUUCCUAUCCAUCGAAGAAAAUUCACGAUCGGAGCACUUCGAAGUUUCCUCAAUGUUCGGGCUUGCUUCUAACCCUCGAGGAAGUUCGAGUCGUCACGUGGAUCGAGGAAGCGACGCGUAGUGUGGCAGAGUGUUUACUUUAGUUUGUAAAUUUGUAGGUAAGCACAGCUCUGAGAGGUUUAUCCUUUUGGUUUGUAAACCUAUGUAAGACUUUGGUUUGUUAUCAAUAAAAGUUAACUUUUGCUU